RNAcentral lists this ribosomal RNA (749 nucleotides) under Micrococcaceae bacterium. RNAcentral's name for it is "bacterial SSU rRNA". It matches the Rfam family "Bacterial small subunit ribosomal RNA", at positions 73 to 836 of the family's 1533-position model. Lineage: Bacteria; Bacillati; Actinomycetota; Actinomycetes; Micrococcales; Micrococcaceae. The record is from RNAcentral.
AGCCAGCUUGCUGGUGGAUUAGUGGCGAACGGGUGAGUAACACGUGAGUAACCUGCCCUUAACUCUGGGAUAAGCCUGGGAAACUGGGUCUAAUACCGGAUAUGACUCCUCAUCGCAUGGUGGGGGGUGGAAAGCUUUUUGUGGUUUUGGAUGGACUCGCGGCCUAUCAGCUUGUUGGUGAGGUAAUGGCUCACCAAGGCGACGACGGGUAGCCGGCCUGAGAGGGUGACCGGCCACACUGGGACUGAGACACGGCCCAGACUCCUACGGGAGGCAGCAGUGGGGAAUAUUGCACAAUGGGCGCAAGCCUGAUGCAGCGACGCCGCGUGAGGGAUGACGGCCUUCGGGUUGUAAACCUCUUUCAGUAGGGAAGAAGCGAAAGUGACGGUACCUGCAGAAGAAGCGCCGGCUAACUACGUGCCAGCAGCCGCGGUAAUACGUAGGGCGCAAGCGUUAUCCGGAAUUAUUGGGCGUAAAGAGCUCGUAGGCGGUUUGUCGCGUCUGCCGUGAAAGUCCGGGGCUCAACUCCGGAUCUGCGGUGGGUACGGGCAGACUAGAGUGAUGUAGGGGAGACUGGAAUUCCUGGUGUAGCGGUGAAAUGCGCAGAUAUCAGGAGGAACACCGAUGGCGAAGGCAGGUCUCUGGGCAUUAACUGACGCUGAGGAGCGAAAGCAUGGGGAGCGAACAGGAUUAGAUACCCUGGUAGUCCAUGCCGUAAACGUUGGGCACUAGGUGUGGGGGACAUUCCA